This is a long non-coding RNA of Zingiber officinale, 1024 nucleotides long. RefSeq lists it as uncharacterized. Lineage: Eukaryota; Viridiplantae; Streptophyta; Magnoliopsida; Zingiberales; Zingiberaceae. The record is from RefSeq and is a predicted model, not a curated record. The transcript has 2 exons.
GCUUUGAUACCUCAUACCAGGAGCUGAAGGCGGUAACCGGAACGCCUCAAACCCUCGAACCUGUCUCUCUCGCUCAACCCUUUUCUUCCGCCGCCCCAGCGCGGCCUCCUUCCUCCGCUCGCCCGAUUUUUCCGCUGCUUAUCCCCAUCCGCGUCUCCGUCGCCAUCGAGAAGGAAAUCCCAGAGAACGAGCGCCCCGGACUUUCCUCCGCGAUGCCGAUGGAUCCCAUUCUGCGCCCGCUUCGAUUGCAUGAUCCGGGUACAAGACGAGGUGUGCGGCGCCAUUGAGGAGUCCGACGGCCGAGGUACUUUCAGGGAGGAUAUCUGGUCUCGGCCGGGAGGAGGGGGCGGGAUUAUGCAUCCGGAGAAUUAUGGUGCCGCCAAGGGGGAAGAUGGAGUCAAGGAUGCAUCGGUCAAGGCGGGGCCUGUACCAUUCUAUGCGCCUGGAAUCAGUUAGGUUUAUGAUCGUGGUUCAACAUUCGGCCUGAAGCAGCAGCUUCUUCGGGAGCGUGUUCACGGUGGAUGGGAAAGUGCUUUUGGGGACGACGGCUACCUUGGAGGGGACGUGCAGCCUGUUGGAAGUGGUGGAAAGGUGCGAUUAGGGAGCUGAAAUGGGCGCAAAGGGCAUGGGAGAGCUACGAUCUUCAGUCGUCCCUUGCGGCAAGGCUCACCUCGCAAGCGUUCUUGGCCGGCCAGCCGCUCCUCUUGCCUGAGAAAUUUCAGGAGACUUGCAGCGUAUCGUCUUACUCGGAGACAGUAUAGUAUCGCCUCUGGGUGGGUUUCUCUCGUCUGUGAGUGCGUUCUUCCAUUAAUAACGAUCGCAGAUUUUUGAAUGAAAAGUUUAAAUUGGGCUUCUUGUUUGUUGCCAAGGAAGAAAACUUACUACAGGGCCAAAAAGAGAGAAUCCGUUUUAACCUUUUUAAAUUGGUUGCUUCUUAUUAAAUUUAAAUUAACUUCAAUUUCUAAUUACUGAAUUCAUAGGUUUUCUCAUUUUAUACUACGUAUAGAAAUCACCUUGGUUGUUA